RNAcentral lists this ribosomal RNA (253 nucleotides) under uncultured bacterium. RNAcentral describes it as "partial 16S ribosomal RNA". It matches the Rfam family "Bacterial small subunit ribosomal RNA", at positions 524 to 776 of the family's 1533-position model. The record is from RNAcentral.
UACGGAGGGUGCAAGCGUUAUCCGGAUUUACUGGGGUUAAAGGGUGUGUAGGCGGACUUUUAAGUCCGUGGUGAAAUCUCCGGGCUCAACCCGGAAACUGCCAUGGAUACUAUUGGUCUUGAAUGUUGUUGAGGUGGGCGGAACGGGUCAUGUAGCGGUGAAAUGCAUAGAUAUGACCCGGAACACCGAUUGCGAAGGCAGCCCACUAAGCAAUGAUUGACGCUGAGGCACGAAAGCGUGGGGAUCAAACAGG